GGAUCCAUGCAUGAGAUGAGGGACAUGCACAACGUGAAAGGGCCAAGUGUUGCGGCAGGUUGGUGGACAACACAAUUGCAACGUGCAUGGAAGGCCCAAGACCCAUGCAGCGUGAAUUGGUGAGCAGCCCAUGUGGGCGUGAAGGGUUGGCCAAGCCCAUGGGGCCCAAGACACUUGGCGGCAACUUUUCCCCCCAUUGGCCAUUUGAAGUCCCAUGGUUGUUUGAGGUGUCAUUGGCUGCCGCUUCCUUUUGUCCUUCCCAUUUAUAUUUUAUUUGAAUGAAAUAUUGGCCACACAUUGGGUUUUCAUUAGAGGCAGCCGGCCAAAUUGUUUAUAUAUAAGGGUUUGUUUCCCUUUGUUCAUUAGGACGUGUAGAGUGAGUUGAGAGAGUGAGCUUGAGUUUGAGUGAGCG
RNAcentral lists this unclassified non-coding RNA (412 nucleotides) under Hevea brasiliensis (rubber tree). The record is from RNAcentral. Lineage: Eukaryota; Viridiplantae; Streptophyta; Magnoliopsida; Malpighiales; Euphorbiaceae.